AGGAUUUUGGGGAGCAGAAGCAAGCAUACAGAAGCAGAUGCAUGGUUACAGGGAUAUAAUUGGUGGAUUCUAAUAUGGCAAGGGUUUAGCCCGGGGGCAAGUUUCUUAGCUACCUUCUUGGAACAUAACGACUGACUCGGCCCCCCACCAGGGUGUGGGACCUCUCCCGGGGCUUUUUUCAUUGUCAGGUGUUCAACCGCAGUCGUCCUGUUGCCAGGCCUUCAACCAAACACAUCCUGCUUGGCAGCCGCUUUGUACUCAGUGUUUUAACCUUUCUCUGAACCAGUCAUCUUAAGUACAGCCUUGCAAAAUGGCGUUACUGCUGCUAAGCUGGGGUCUUUCACCUUCAAGGCACAGAUGAGGGCCUGCCUCAUAGCACCAUUUAAAACAAACAAACAAAAACAAAAAAAAAACUCAAAACCAAACAAAAAACCCAACUCUGCCUUUGGUUUCUACUCAGGAGAAUCUAUCCCGUAAUUUCCCUGGUGUGGAAUUACAGUUUCCGCCCACUACAGCUCCCAUUCGAACAAUGAACCAAUCAGUGUCCAAAGGAAACCAAAGUAAUGAAUGGGACAGGCAGAGCCCGGAACGUUCUGGCUGCUGAUGCCCCUGCUCAUUUUUUUGUCAGUGACACUGGUACUACUCUUGCAGACUAACUUUUGUAGUGAGACCUUAUGUCAGAACAUGAAACAAGUAAAAAUAAAACUAAUAAAAAGGAGGAAGGGGAGGACAAGUAUGAAAUAAAUAAAUAAAUAAAUAAAUAAAUAAAUAAAUAAAUAAAAAUAUGGUAGCACGUGCACGCCAUUGUAACAGGCAGGAGCUGAGACAGCAGGGUGUCAAGUUCAAAGCUGGCCUCACCUUCAGAGCGAGCCACCCCUCCCCCUUUUGAUGUAAGAUGUUUCCAUUUUGUACAUUUGAAAACGUUUAGCAUUAAAAUCAAAUGUUAAAGGCGUUUAUCUUUGUGAAGCUUUAUUUUACUACAAUUGUAAAGGUUAGUCUUCUAAGACCGGGCGCUUAGCACUGAUUUUUUUUUUAAUGGUUAUAUAAAAUGUCAGUUACCUGC
RNAcentral lists this long non-coding RNA (1063 nucleotides) under Rattus norvegicus (Norway rat). RNAcentral describes it as "long non-coding RNA NONRATT016037". Lineage: Eukaryota; Metazoa; Chordata; Mammalia; Rodentia; Muridae. The record is from RNAcentral.